Molecule: unclassified non-coding RNA, 255 nt
Filed under: Hevea brasiliensis (rubber tree)
Lineage: Eukaryota; Viridiplantae; Streptophyta; Magnoliopsida; Malpighiales; Euphorbiaceae
Source: RNAcentral
GGGAAACUUCAAGAGAUACACGAAAAGUGGUUUUGCCAAUUAGGUUGUCCAACAGAUAGGAGAAAAGACUCGGUGCCUGACCAGCUCCACUUGAGCAGCUUUUGGGCACUCUACCUUUUAUCUGGUGCUGUCACUGUCCUUGCUCUGUUAAUCUUUCUACUCAAAAGUAUUCGCCAAUAUAUACGAUACAAAAGGAAUCAUACGGACCUUUCUUCUCCCUCGAACACCAGAUGUUCACAUGUGAUCUACAGUUUC